This 1463-nucleotide ribosomal RNA is filed under the name Mycobacterium intracellulare. RNAcentral's name for it is "bacterial SSU rRNA". It matches the Rfam family "Bacterial small subunit ribosomal RNA". Lineage: Bacteria; Bacillati; Actinomycetota; Actinomycetes; Mycobacteriales; Mycobacteriaceae. The record is from RNAcentral.
GACGAACGCUGGCGGCGUGCUUAACACAUGCAAGUCGAACGGAAAGGCCCCUUCGGGGGUACUCGAGUGGCGAACGGGUGAGUAACACGUGGGCAAUCUGCCCUGCACUUCGGGAUAAGCCUGGGAAACUGGGUCUAAUACCGGAUAGGACCUUUAGGCGCAUGUCUUUAGGUGGAAAGCUUUUGCGGUGUGGGAUGGGCCCGCGGCCUAUCAGCUUGUUGGUGGGGUGAUGGCCUACCAAGGCGACGACGGGUAGCCGGCCUGAGAGGGUGUCCGGCCACACUGGGACUGAGAUACGGCCCAGACUCCUACGGGAGGCAGCAGUGGGGAAUAUUGCACAAUGGGCGCAAGCCUGAUGCAGCGACGCCGCGUGGGGGAUGACGGCCUUCGGGUUGUAAACCUCUUUCACCAUCGACGAAGGUCCGGGUUUUCUCGGAUUGACGGUAGGUGGAGAAGAAGCACCGGCCAACUACGUGCCAGCAGCCGCGGUAAUACGUAGGGUGCGAGCGUUGUCCGGAAUUACUGGGCGUAAAGAGCUCGUAGGUGGUUUGUCGCGUUGUUCGUGAAAUCUCACGGCUUAACUGUGAGCGUGCGGGCGAUACGGGCAGACUAGAGUACUGCAGGGGAGACUGGAAUUCCUGGUGUAGCGGUGGAAUGCGCAGAUAUCAGGAGGAACACCGGUGGCGAAGGCGGGUCUCUGGGCAGUAACUGACGCUGAGGAGCGAAAGCGUGGGGAGCGAACAGGAUUAGAUACCCUGGUAGUCCACGCCGUAAACGGUGGGUACUAGGUGUGGGUUUCCUUCCUUGGGAUCCGUGCCGUAGCUAACGCAUUAAGUACCCCGCCUGGGGAGUACGGCCGCAAGGCUAAAACUCAAAGGAAUUGACGGGGGCCCGCACAAGCGGCGGAGCAUGUGGAUUAAUUCGAUGCAACGCGAAGAACCUUACCUGGGUUUGACAUGCACAGGACGCGUCUAGAGAUAGGCGUUCCCUUGUGGCCUGUGUGCAGGUGGUGCAUGGCUGUCGUCAGCUCGUGUCGUGAGAUGUUGGGUUAAGUCCCGCAACGAGCGCAACCCUUGUCUCAUGUUGCCAGCGGGUAAUGCCGGGGACUCGUGAGAGACUGCCGGGGUCAACUCGGAGGAAGGUGGGGAUGACGUCAAGUCAUCAUGCCCCUUAUGUCCAGGGCUUCACACAUGCUACAAUGGCCGGUACAAAGGGCUGCGAUGCCGCAAGGUUAAGCGAAUCCUUUUAAAGCCGGUCUCAGUUCGGAUUGGGGUCUGCAACUCGACCCCAUGAAGUCGGAGUCGCUAGUAAUCGCAGAUCAGCAACGCUGCGGUGAAUACGUUCCCGGGCCUUGUACACACCGCCCGUCACGUCAUGAAAGUCGGUAACACCCGAAGCCAGUGGCCUAACCCUUGGGAGGGAGCUGUCGAAGGUGGGAUCGGCGAUUGGGACGAAGUCGUAAC